Molecule: long non-coding RNA, 404 nt
Filed under: Daphnia magna
Lineage: Eukaryota; Metazoa; Arthropoda; Branchiopoda; Diplostraca; Daphniidae
Description: uncharacterized LOC123471308, transcript variant X1
Source: RNAcentral
AUUACUUUAUAGAGUGUAAAACGAAAUGGAAACUCAAAAACAGCUUCAGUGUACACUUUCCAGACAUCGCCCUUCUGGAUGGAUGGACUCAAGGACCAUCCUGACGGCAGCACAGAUUUAAUUUCUUUCAGGGCGGCUUGAACUUGCAGCGGGGGAAAAAGGGUAGCUGGUAGACGUUCCAUAGCCAUAACAGCCAAUCCAACGGCAAAGUUAUCCAACACCUCUUCGAUCCAUCCCACGGCGGACCCAAUUUGACGGAACGCAUCUCCAACUUUCGUGGCCUCUCGUUCAAUUUUUGCAAAAGCAAUCUGUAGCUCGGCUACGGCGUCGCCACUUGCCUUAGUCUCCCACAGCGUCUCGUUAAUAAGAGAAGCAUGAACUUCCAGGGCAUGCACAAUGGAUGU